CAUGCAAGUCGAGUGGGUUUAGACCCACGGCAGACGAGGUAGUAACACGUAGGAACGUACCCGGAAGUCAGGCAUAAUCAGUCGAAAGAUUGGCUAAUUCCUGAUGGUCUCGCAAGAGUAAAGAAUUUCGCUUCCGGAGCGGCCUGCGUAAUAUCAGCUAGUUGGUAAGGUAAUGGCUUACCAAGGCUAUGACAUUUAGGGGAGCUGAGAGGCUGACCCCCACCGAUCGGACUGAGACACGGCCGAUACUCCUACGGGAGGCUGCAGUCGAGAAUAUUUGGCAAUGGGCGAAAGCCUGACCAAGCGACGCCGCGUGAUGGAUGAAGUGCUUAGGUACGUAAACAUCUUUUAUGGAGGAAGAAGUUUUGACAUUACUCCAUGAAUAAGGGGCUCCUAACUCUGUGCCAGCAGGAGCGGUAAUACAGAGGCCCCAAGCGUUACCCGGAAUUAUUGGGCGUAAAGGGUGUGUAGGCGGCAAUGUUAGUCGAUCGUUAAAUAUCUAGGGCUUAACCCUGGAAACCCGAUCGAAACGGCAUUACUAGAGGAUGCGAGAGGUGAAUGGAACUCAUGGUGUAGGGGUGAAAUCCGUUGAUAUCAUGGGGAACACCAAAAGCGAAGGCAAUUCACUGGCGCAUUCCUGACGCUCAGACACGAAAGCGUGGGUAGCGAACGGGAUUAGAUACCCCGGUAGUCCACGCCCUAAACGAUGAUAACUGGAUAUGGGGAGUAUCGACCCUCUCCGUGUCGAAGCUAACGCGUUAAGUUAUCCGCCUGGGUAGUACGGUCGCAAGACUAAAACUCAAAGGAAUAGACGGGGCUCGCACAAGUGGUGGAGCGUGGGGCUUAAUUCGUCGGUAAGCGAAGACCUUACCAGGACUAGAAAUCUCACUGCACGCCUAUUGAAGACAGGAGCCUUCGAGGGUGUGAGACAGGUGAUGCAUGGCUGUCGUCAGUUCGUGGUUUGCACUGUUCCCUUAAGUGGGGUAACGAACGCAACCCUCGUUGCCUGUUAUAUAUGUCAGGCGAGACUGCCCCCUCACGGGGGAGGAAGGUGGGGAUGACGCCAAGUCCGCAUGUCCCUCUGACGUCCUGGGCUGCACACGCGCUACAAUCGCCGUUACAAAGAGGCGCAAUACCGCAAGGUGGAGCAAAUCUCUAAAAGCGGCGCCAGUUCGGAUUGGGGUCUGCAACUCGACCCCAUGAAGCCGGAAUCACUAGUAAUCGUAGAUCAGCCACGCUACGGUGAAUACGUUCUCGAGCCUUGUACUCACCGCCCGUCAACUCAAGGAAGCCGGAAGUACCCGAAGCC
This 1309-nucleotide ribosomal RNA is filed under the name uncultured Actinomycetes bacterium. RNAcentral describes it as "uncultured actinobacterium 16S ribosomal RNA". It matches the Rfam family "Bacterial small subunit ribosomal RNA", at positions 54 to 1428 of the family's 1533-position model. The record is from RNAcentral. Lineage: Bacteria; Bacillati; Actinomycetota; Actinomycetes.